RNAcentral lists this ribosomal RNA (1373 nucleotides) under uncultured bacterium. Its description in RNAcentral is "bacterial SSU rRNA". It matches the Rfam family "Bacterial small subunit ribosomal RNA", at positions 28 to 1381 of the family's 1533-position model. The record is from RNAcentral.
GAUGAACGCUGGCGGCGUGCCUAAUACAUGCAAGUCGAGCGAACAGAUAAGGAGCUUGCUCCUUUGAAGUUAGCGGCGGACGGGUGAGUAACACGUGGGUAACCUACCUAUAAGACUGGGAUAACUUCGGGAAACCGGAGCUAAUACCGGAUAAUAUUUAGAACCGCAUGGUUCUAAAGUGAAAGAUGGUUUUGCUAUCACUUAUAGAUGGACCCGCGCCGUAUUAGCUAGUUGGUAAGGUAACGGCUUACCAAGGCGACGAUACGUAGCCGACCUGAGAGGGUGAUCGGCCACACUGGAACUGAGACACGGUCCAGACUCCUACGGGAGGCAGCAGUAGGGAAUCUUCCCGCAUGGGCGAAAGCCUGACGGAGCAACGCCGCGUGAGUGAUGAAAGGGUUUCGGCUCGUAAAACUCUGUUAUUAGGGAAGAAACAAUGUGUAAGUAACUGUGCACAUCUUGACGGUACCCUAUCAGAAAGCCACGGCUAACUACGUGCCAGCAGCCGCGGUAAUACGUAGGUGGCAAGCGUUAUCCGGAAUUAUUGGGCGUAAAGCGCGCGUAGGCGGUUUCUUAAGUCUGAUGUGAAAGCCCACGGCUCAACCGUGGAGGGUCAUUGGAAACUGGGAAACUUGAGUGCGGAAGAGGAAAGUGGAAUUCCAUGUGUAGCGGUGAAAUGCGCAGAGAUAUGGAGGAACACCAGUGGCGAAGGCGACUUUCUGGUCUGUAACUGACGCUGAUGUGCGAAAGCGUGGGGAUCAAACAGGAUUAGAUACCCUGGUAGUCCACGCCGUAAACGAUGAGUGCUAAGUGUUAGGGGGUUUCCGCCCCUUAGUGCUGCAGCUAACGCAUUAAGCACUCCGCCUGGGGAGUACGACCGCAAGGUUGAAACUCAAAGGAAUUGACGGGGACCCGCACAAGCGGUGGAGCAUGUGGUUUAAUUCGAAGCAACGCGAAGAACCUUACCAAAUCUUGACAUCCUUUGAAAACUCUAGAGAUAGAGCCUUCCCCUUCGGGGGACAAAGUGACAGGUGGUGCAUGGUUGUCGUCAGCUCGUGUCGUGAGAUGUUGGGUUAAGUCCCGCAACGAGCGCAACCCUUAAGCUUAGUUGCCAUCAUUAAGUUGGGCACUCUAGGUUGACUGCCGGUGACAAACCGGAGGAAGGUGGGGAUGACGUCAAAUCAUCAUGCCCCUUAUGAUUUGGGCUACACACGUGCUACAAUGGACAAUACAAAGGGCAGCUAAACCGCGAGGUCAUGCAAAUCCCAUAAAGUUGUUCUCAGUUCGGAUUGUAGUCUGCAACUCGACUACAUGAAGCUGGAAUCGCUAGUAAUCGUAGAUCAGCAUGCUACGGUGAAUACGUUCCCGGGUCU